This 253-nucleotide ribosomal RNA is filed under the name uncultured bacterium. RNAcentral describes it as "partial 16S ribosomal RNA". It matches the Rfam family "Bacterial small subunit ribosomal RNA", at positions 524 to 776 of the family's 1533-position model. The record is from RNAcentral.
UACGUAGGGUGCAAGCGUUAAUCGGAAUUACUGGGCGUAAAGCGUGCGCAGGCGGCUUUGCAAGACAGAUGUGAAAUCCCCGGGCUUAACCUGGGAACUGCAUUUGUGACUGCAUGGCUGGAGUGCGGCAGAGGGGAUGGAAUUCCGGCGUGUAGCAGUGAAAUGCGUAGAUAUGCGGAGGAACACCGAUGGCGAAGGCAAUCCCCUGGACCUGUACUGACGCUCAUGCACGAAAGCGUGGGGAGCAAACAGG